UCUGCCCUUCACUCUGGGACAAGCCCUGGAAACGGGGUCUAAUACCGGAUAACACUCUGUCCCGCAUGGGACGGGGUUAAAAGCUCCGGCGGUGAAGGAUGAGCCCGCGGCCUAUCAGCUUGUUGGUGGGGUAAUGGCCUACCAAGGCGACGACGGGUAGCCGGCCUGAGAGGGCGACCGGCCACACUGGGACUGAGACACGGCCCAGACUCCUACGGGAGGCAGCAGUGGGGAAUAUUGCACAAUGGGCGAAAGCCUGAUGCAGCGACGCCGCGUGAGGGAUGACGGCCUUCGGGUUGUAAACCUCUUUCAGCAGGGAAGAAGCGAAAGUGACGGUACCUGCAGAAGAAGCGCCGGCUAACUACGUGCCAGCAGCCGCGGUAAUACGUAGGGCGCAAGCGUUGUCCGGAAUUAUUGGGCGUAAAGAGCUCGUAGGCGGCUUGUCACGUCGGAUGUGAAAGCCCGGGGCUUAACCCCGGGUCUGCAUUCGAUACGGGCUAGCUAGAGUGUGGUAGGGGAGAUCGGAAUUCCUGGUGUAGCGGUGAAAUGCGCAGAUAUCAGGAGGAACACCGGUGGCGAAGGCGGAUCUCUGGGCCAUUACUGACGCUGAGGAGCGAAAGCGUGGGGAGCGAACAGGAUUAGAUACCCUGGUAGUCCACGCCGUAAACGUUGGGAACUAGGUGUUGGCGACAUUCCACGUCGUCGGUGCCGCAGCUAACGCAUUAAGUUCCCCGCCUGGGGAGUACGGCCGCAAAGCUAAAACUCAAAGGAAUUUGACGGGGGGCCGCACAAGCAGCGGAGGCUGUGGCUUAAUUCGACGCAACGCGAAGAACCUUACCAAGGCUUGACAUAUACCGGAAAGCAUCAGAGAUGGUGCCCCCCUUGUGGUCGGUAUACAGGUGGUGCAUGGCUGUCGUCAGCUCGUGUCGUGAGAUGUUGGGUUAAGUCCCGCAACGAGCGCAACCCUUGUUCUGUGUUGCCAGCAUGCCCUUCGGGGUGAUGGGGACUCACAGGAGACUGCCGGGGUCAACUCGGAGGAAGGUGGGGACGACGUCAAGUCAUCAUGCCCCUUAUGUCUUGGGCUGCACACGUGCUACAAUGGCCGGUACAAUGAGCUGCGAUGCCGCGAGGCGGAGCGAAUCUCAAAAAGCCGGUCUCAGUUCGGAUUGGGGUCUGCAACUCGACCCCAUGAAGUCGGAGUUGCUAGUAAUCGCAGAUCAGCAUUGCUGCGGUGAAUACGUUCCCGGGCCUUGUACACACCGCCCGUCACGUCACGAAAGUCCGUAACACCCGAACCGGUGGCCCAAACCCC
This 1312-nucleotide ribosomal RNA is filed under the name Streptomyces sp. Bd 059. RNAcentral's name for it is "bacterial SSU rRNA". It matches the Rfam family "Bacterial small subunit ribosomal RNA", at positions 125 to 1442 of the family's 1533-position model. The record is from RNAcentral. Lineage: Bacteria; Bacillati; Actinomycetota; Actinomycetes; Kitasatosporales; Streptomycetaceae.